RNAcentral lists this transfer RNA (76 nucleotides) under Halorubrum ezzemoulense. RNAcentral describes it as "tRNA-Gln". It matches the Rfam family "tRNA". Rfam says of the family: Transfer RNA (tRNA) molecules are approximately 80 nucleotides in length. Their secondary structure includes four short double-helical elements and three loops (D, anti-codon, and T loops). Further hydrogen bonds mediate the characteristic L-shaped molecular structure. tRNAs have two regions of fundamental functional importance: the anti-codon, which is responsible for specific mRNA codon recognition, and the 3' end, to which the tRNAs corresponding amino acid is attached (by aminoacyl-tRNA synthetases). tRNAs cope with the degeneracy of the genetic code in two manners: having more than one tRNA (with a specific anti-codon) for a particular amino acid; and 'wobble' base-pairing, i.e. permitting non-standard base-pairing at the 3rd anti-codon position. The record is from RNAcentral. RNAcentral also lists the same sequence under 7 other names. Lineage: Archaea; Methanobacteriati; Methanobacteriota; Halobacteria; Halobacteriales; Haloferacaceae.
AGCCCCGGAGUCUCCGCUGGCGAGGGACGCCGGACUUUGAAUCCGGAAGUCGCCGGUUCGAUUCCGGCCGGGGCGA